AUGGGCGACACGAUGACGAGUCUCCAGUCCUUUCUUGUGUCUGAUAACCAGUUUCAUGGCGUGAUCCCGCCGUCCUUGUGCAAUGCUUCCAUGCUACAGAUGGUUCAGACAGUAAACAACUUCCUGUCGGGAACGAUCCCUCGGUGCCUGGGGGCUCGCCAGGAGAUGCUCUCUGUGGUGAACUUUGCGGGGAAUCAGCUUGAAGCAACCAACGAUGCUGAAUGGGGCUUCCUUACUAGUCUGACCAACUGCAGCAAUAUGAUAUUAGUGGAUGUUAGUGAAAACAAGCUCCAAGGUGUGCUACCGAAAUCAAUCGGCAAUUUGUCGACACAGAUGGAGUUUCUUGGCAUUGCAUCCAACAGCAUAGCAGGGACGAUAACUGAAGCAAUAGGGAACUUCAUCAACUUGGAUGAACUUGACAUGGAAAAUAAUCUUCUCCAGGGCACCAUCCCAGCAUCUCUCGGCAAGCUUAAGAAGUUGAAUCGGUUAUCUCUGUCAAAUAACAACUUGUCAGGAUCUAUCCCAGUGGCUCUUGGAAAUCUUACAAAGCUUACAACCCUUCUGCUUAAUACUAAUGCGCUCAGUGGAGCCAUCCCUUCUGCUCUCAGCAACUGUCCUUUAGAGGAGCUGGAUCUUUCUUACAACAAUCUUUCCGGCCCAACACCUAAGGAACUCUUCCUCAUCUCAAGCUUGUCGAGUUCCAUGUAUCUUGCACAUAAUUCACUGACUGGGACUUUGCCUUCAGAAGUGGGAAAUCUCAGGAAUCUAGGUGAACUUGAUCUCUCUGACAAUAUGAUUUCAGGAAAGAUUCCUACCAAUAUUGGGGAGUGUCGAAGCUUACAGUACCUCAAUUUAUCUGGGAACCAUCUCGACGCGACGAUUCCGCUGUCACUAGGACAGUUACGGGGCCUCGUAGUGCUUGAUCUUUCUCGGAAUAAUUUAUCUGGGAGCAUUCCUGAGUUCCUCGGCACCAUGAAAGGCCUUGCUAGUUUAAAUCUCUCUUCCAAUGAUUUUGAAGGUGAAGUUCCGAAAGACGGAAUAUUCCUCAAUGCAGCUGCAACCUCGGUCAUGGGAAACAGUGCUCUGUGUGGUGGGAUCCCUCAACUCAAGUUGAAAAUGUGCUCCAGUCCCACUAAAAGGAGAAUAUCUUCAAAGCUUCUCAUGAUUAUCGCAGCAGGCGCCGGAAUUCUGUUGGUCAUACUAUCCGCAAUGUUCGUGUUAUGUAAAAGAAGCAAGCUUAUAAGAGCAAAGCCACAGAUAACUCUCCUCAAUGACAAAUACAUAAGAGUUUCUUAUGCUGAAUUGGUCAAGGCAACAGAUGGUUUCACAUCCGAAAACCUCAUUGGGGUGGGCAGCUUUGGUGCAGUGUACAAGGGAAGAAUGGAAAUCUCUGGCCAACAAGUGAUGGUGGCAGUGAAGGUACUCAACCUGCAACAUGCUGGCGCAUCCCGAAGUUUCGAUGCGGAAUGUGAGGCUUGGAGAUGUAUCCGCCAUCGGAACCUUGUGAAGGUUAUAACAGUGUGCUCAAGUAUUGACACUCGAGGUGGCGACUUCAAGGCUCUUGUGUUUGAGUUUCUGCCAAAUGGAAAUCUAGACCAGUGGCUACACAAGCAUCUCGAGGAAGAUAACGAACCCAAGAUGCUAGAUCUCAUUCAGAGACUCCAGAUUGCCAUGCACGUGGCUUCUGCGCUUGACUAUUUGCAUCAUCAGAAGCCGUUUCCAAUUGUUCACUGUGACCUCAAGCCAAGCAAUAUUCUCCUCGACAACAACAUGGUUGCCCAUGUCGGUGAUUUUGGGCUUGCAAGGUUCCUACAUGACGAACAUAAUGACAAGUCAGAGACACCAACUAGUAGUCGAACCGCAAUAAGAGGAACAAUUGGUUAUGUGGCUCCAGAAUAUGGACUUGGCAAUGAAGCUUCAAUCCAUGGUGAUGUGUACAGCUACGGUAUACUGCUGCUCGAGAUGUUCACCGGUAAAAGACCCACAAGUUCUGAAUUCGGAGAAGUGCUUAGCCUUCAUAAGCACGUACAAAUGGCACUGCCAGACCAAGCGGCUACUGUCAUCGACCAAGACCUAUUAAAAGCAGAAAGUAAUGGCAAAGGGACAGAAGGGGGGUAUCAGAGCAGUGAAGACAUGAGAAUUAGUUGCAUCGUCUCGAUUCUGCAGGUUGGAAUUUCAUGCUCCAAGGAGACGCCAACUGAACGCAUUCAAAUUGGAGAUGCAUUGAGAGAGUUGCAGAUAAUCAGAGAUAAGUUUUACGCGCAUUAG
RNAcentral lists this ribosomal RNA (2268 nucleotides) under Triticum aestivum (bread wheat). RNAcentral's name for it is "partial small subunit ribosomal RNA". Lineage: Eukaryota; Viridiplantae; Streptophyta; Magnoliopsida; Poales; Poaceae. The record is from RNAcentral.